This 466-nucleotide ribosomal RNA is filed under the name uncultured microorganism. RNAcentral's name for it is "bacterial SSU rRNA". It matches the Rfam family "Bacterial small subunit ribosomal RNA", at positions 9 to 520 of the family's 1533-position model. The record is from RNAcentral.
GAGUUUGAUCGUGGCUCAGAGCGAACGCUGGCGGCAGGCUUAACACAUGCAAGUCGAGCGGGCGUAGCAAUACGUCAGCGGCAGACGGGUGAGUAACACGUGGGAACGUACCUUUUGGUUCGGAACAACUGAGGGAAACUUCAGCUAAUACCGGAUAAGCCCUAACGGGGAAAGAUUUAUCGCCGAAAGAUCGGCCCGCGUCUGAUUAGCUAGUUGGUGAGGUAAUGGCUCACCAAGGUGACGAUCAGUAGCUGGUCUGAGAGGAUGAUCAGCCACACUGGGACUGAGACACGGCCCAGACUCCUACGGGAGGCAGCAGUGGGGAAUAUUGGACAAUGGGGGCAACCCUGAUCCAGCCAUGCCGCGUGAGUGAUGAAGGCCCUAGGGUUGUAAAGCUCUUUUGUGCGGGAAGAUAAUGACGGUACCGCAAGAAUAAGCCCCGACUAACUCGUGCCAGCAGCCGCGU